GACUGUGGCUCUGUGGCAGAGCAUCUGCUUGGCAUGCGGAAGGUCGCAGGUUCUAACCCUGUCAUCGUCA
This 70-nucleotide transfer RNA is filed under the name Sphaerodactylus townsendi. RNAcentral's name for it is "tRNA-Ala". It matches the Rfam family "tRNA". Rfam says of the family: Transfer RNA (tRNA) molecules are approximately 80 nucleotides in length. Lineage: Eukaryota; Metazoa; Chordata; Lepidosauria; Squamata; Sphaerodactylidae. The record is from RNAcentral.